Molecule: ribosomal RNA, 236 nt
Filed under: uncultured bacterium
Lineage: Bacteria
Description: partial 16S ribosomal RNA
Rfam family: Bacterial small subunit ribosomal RNA
Source: RNAcentral
CGGGACGGGUGAGUAACGCGUGGGUAACCUGCCCUGUACAGGGGGAUAACAGUCAGAAAUGACUGCUAAUACCGCAUAAGACCACAGCACCGCAUGGUGCAGGGGUAAAAACUCCGGUGGUACAGGAUAGACCCGCGUCUGAUUAGCUGGUUGGUGAGGUAACGGCUCACCAAGGCGACGAUCAGUAGCCGGCUUGAGAGAGUGAACGGCCACAUUGGGACUGAGACACGGCCCAA